Molecule: ribosomal RNA, 44 nt
Filed under: fungal endophyte OTm-7
Lineage: Eukaryota; Fungi; Ascomycota
Description: partial 18S ribosomal RNA
Source: RNAcentral
GGAAGUAAAAAGUCGUAACAAGGUCUCCGUUGGUGAACCAGCGG